GGAUCAAGUUUUUACCGCACUCUCUUUCCCUUUUGAGAAUUUGUUGAUUCUUCAGAAAAAGGAAUUUGAUUCUGAUUUGGGGGAGGAUUUUGAUUUUCAAAUUUGGAAUUGAUUGGAGGGUCGAUUGGGGAUUUCACAAGAAAUGAAAAACCCAAUCUCCCUCAUAUAUAUAUUCUUUUCUUGUUUAUUGUUAAGAGGGGUUUUUUUAGGAGCUCUCGGAUUCAAAUUUUAGACAAAAAUCGAGAGAUUAAUAAAGCCAAGGAUUCCGUUGGAGAAAAUCACUGGAAAUUUUAG
This 294-nucleotide unclassified non-coding RNA is filed under the name Hevea brasiliensis (rubber tree). Lineage: Eukaryota; Viridiplantae; Streptophyta; Magnoliopsida; Malpighiales; Euphorbiaceae. The record is from RNAcentral.